Molecule: long non-coding RNA, 1194 nt
Organism: Varroa destructor (honeybee mite)
Lineage: Eukaryota; Metazoa; Arthropoda; Arachnida; Mesostigmata; Varroidae
Source: RefSeq, a predicted model, not a curated record
UAUUAUCAUACUAGAUUAUCAUGGCUGUCUUUCUAUCCUGUCUUGGUUUCACGGUUUAUCCUAUGCCGGCAGCAUAGAGCCUAACUAAAUAAUAAUGCAUGCCGUCAGCGCUACAAUAGCAAAAACAUAAUAUAGAACUUGACAGGUAGCGAACACCGAUGCUUGCGCUGGCAGUGGCGCGGGCUUUCUUUGUUGAGUAAUGUCACGUUACUAUAGUGACCAUAAUUGUAAAAUCGUAGAAGACACAAAAACGACAGUCAAUUAUUUAAUUGCACCGUUCCUGCGGUAAAAUGCCCCGAAGCAACCAACAUUGUUACAGGUACCAUUUAUUGGUAUUAGCUGACACAGGUUCGGACCUUAGGAGCUAAAAUGCUUUAACAGCGAUAUAGCAGCAAUCGUCAAAUACCUCAGUUCCGUCUAGCAUUCAGAGAAAACAACAACGAUAAAAACAACAAAAUAAUCCUAUUAAAUUAGAGACAACGAUUUUAUAAUUUCCACUUGUAGACCGCCGGCCGUGUUGUAAUAAGGAUUUACGACAGAAAAAAAAAUGGGAACAGUGACAUUGUAACCAUCGGCCGGAAGUACCACCUACAAAUAGUUUGGUUACGGAAAAGCUGCCAAAACUAGAUUUGUUUUAGUGAGAUCCGGUAAUCUACAGGCGAAGAUGAGCUAUCUACAAGCGGAUCAAAAAUCAAUGAUACUUUAGGUGUCACCCGCAGUUCGAUGCAGCAUUUUCAAUCGAUUCAGGACCCUGUAGUAUCGGUCGAGAUCUAGGUAAAGAUCAUCGUGAGAUGUAUUGAGUCGGGUGCUAUCACCUGGGUGUGAAGCGUCGAUUUUUCAGGAAACCACCAUACUAAAUUAAAAAGAGUCGGAAUGCUGAAAUUGAUUGGCGAGGCAGUAACGACAAGAUCAUAAGACACUACGGGUGUACAGUUCUACUCGCACAAACAGUCUUCAGACUUGGAUUGCGAUUGCCUGGAUGUGUCCAUCGAAUCACGAUUCGAAAUAUGUUUCGUUUCGUUUUGUCUUGUUGGGUUGCAACACAUUGAAGAUAAUGCCUGUCUGAUUCAACUUGGCCCCGGCCGGCGAUACGAAAAGGGUUUUUUGCUUCUACUUCAGAUAUAAUUAACUAGCGUCUCCUAAAUCAAGCAUGACAAAGACUAGAUAAACGAUCAGCGUUCUGCUAUUAAAAAA